RNAcentral lists this ribosomal RNA (253 nucleotides) under uncultured bacterium. Its description in RNAcentral is "partial 16S ribosomal RNA". It matches the Rfam family "Bacterial small subunit ribosomal RNA", at positions 524 to 776 of the family's 1533-position model. The record is from RNAcentral.
UACGUAGGGUGCAAGCGUUGUCCGGAAUUAUUGGGCGUAAAGAGCUCGUAGGCGGUUCGUCACGUCGGGAGUGAAAACUCGGAGCUUAACUCCGAGCCUGCUUCCGAUACGGGCAGACUAGAGGUAGGCAGGGGAGAGCGGAACUCCUGGUGUAGCGGUGGAAUGCGCAGAUAUCAGGAAGAACACCGGUGGCGAAGGCGGCUCUCUGGGCCUUACCUGACGCUGAGGAGCGAAAGCGUGGGUAGCGAACAGG